CUGACAGUACUAAUGCAUUUCCUUGAGGAAUGAUCCCAGUCGUGUCAUGUUUAUUGGUUGCUUUUAUUCUUCCUCCCUCUCCACUUGCUAACAUAAAGUUAACAAGGAAACUGUUAGAUAAUUGGUAAUGAAACUUGAAAUUAUAUGAAUGUGAUUUUCACUUUUGCAGGUCGAUGCUGUUGUGUACUUGGUGGAUGCCGCUGACAAGGAGAGGUUCCCAGAGUCAAAAAAGGAGUUGGAUGCACUCCUCUCGGACGACUCACUGGCGACUGUACCUUUUCUGAUUCUGGGUAACAAGAUUGAUAUCCCUUAUGCAGCACCGGAGGAUGAGCUACGAUACAGCCUGGGAUUGAGCAAUUUCACAACGGGCAAGGGCAAAGUGAACCUUGCAGAUUCCAAUGUCCGCCCCCUUGAGGUCUUCAUGUGCAGCAUUGUUCGCAAGAUGGGAUAUGGCGAGGGCUUUAAGUGGAUGUCCCAGUACAUCAAGUAAUUUGACGGUGAGAAUGAAAAACCUGGGGAUACUGUCGCUUUUAUCUUUAUCUAGU
This 545-nucleotide unclassified non-coding RNA is filed under the name Hevea brasiliensis (rubber tree). The record is from RNAcentral. Lineage: Eukaryota; Viridiplantae; Streptophyta; Magnoliopsida; Malpighiales; Euphorbiaceae.